UACAGAGGGUGCUAGCGUUAAUCGGAAUUAUUGGGCGUAAAGGGCGCGUAGGCGGUUGUUUAAGUUUGAUGUGAAAGCCCCGGGCUUAACCUGGGAACUGCAUUGAAUACUGGGCGACUAGAGUACUGUAGAGGGUAGUGGAAUUUCCGGUGUAGCGGUGAAAUGCGUAGAGAUCGGAAGGAACACCAGUGGCGAAAGCACUCUGCUGGGCCGACACUGACACUGAGAGACGAAAGCUAGGGGAGCAAAUGGG
Molecule: ribosomal RNA, 253 nt
Filed under: uncultured bacterium
Lineage: Bacteria
Description: partial 16S ribosomal RNA
Rfam family: Bacterial small subunit ribosomal RNA
Source: RNAcentral